CUACGCUCACCAUGCCUCGGUGAACGGGAAAUCCGGUGUGAUGCCGGUGCGGCCCUCGCCACUGUGAUCGGGAAGUCCGGCUCCGGCCCUUCGUGGGCAGCCACUGGGCCUUCAUGGGCCUGGGAAGGCGGAGUCCGGGCGCUUCACCCGUCAGCCAGGAGACCGGCCGAGGCGCGUCAACCAUC
This 185-nucleotide non-coding RNA is filed under the name Streptomyces sp. RNAcentral also lists the same sequence under 1 other name. Lineage: Bacteria; Bacillati; Actinomycetota; Actinomycetes; Kitasatosporales; Streptomycetaceae. The record is from RNAcentral.